Molecule: ribosomal RNA, 468 nt
Filed under: uncultured bacterium
Lineage: Bacteria
Description: partial 16S ribosomal RNA
Rfam family: Bacterial small subunit ribosomal RNA
Source: RNAcentral
GAUGAACGCUGACAGAAUGCUUAACACAUGCAAGUCUACUUGAAUUUGGGUUUUUUAACUUAGAUUUGGAUGGCGGACGGGUGAGUAACGCGUAAAGAACUUGCCUCACAGCUAGGGACAACAUUUGGAAACGAAUGCUAAUACCUGAUAUUAUGAUUAUAAGGCAUCUUAGAAUUAUGAAAGCUAUAUGCGCUGUGAGAGAGCUUUGCGUCCCAUUAGCUAGUUGGAGAGGUAACGGCUCACCAAGGCGAUGAUGGGUAGCCGGCCUGAGAGGGUGAACGGCCACAAGGGGACUGAGACACGGCCCUUACUCCUACGGGAGGCAGCAGUGGGGAAUAUUGGACAAUGGACCAAGAGUCUGAUCCAGCAAUUCUGUGUGCACGAUGACGUUUUUCGGAAUGUAAAGUGCUUUCAGUUGGGAAGAAAAAAAUGACGGUACCAACAGAAGAAGUGACGGCUAAAUACGUG